AACGAACGCUGGCGGCGCGCCUAAUACAUGCAAGUCGAGCGAGAAGACGUAGCAAUACGUUUGUAAAGCGGCGAACGGGUGAGGAAUACAUGGGUAACCUACCCUCGAGUGGGGAAUAACUAGCCGAAAGGUUAGCUAAUACCGCGUACGCUCCUUGGACUUCGGUUCAGGGAGGAAAGCGAUACCGUGGGUAUCGCGCUCUUGGAUGGGCUCAUGUCCUAUCAGCUUGUUGGUGAGGAACGGCUCACCAAGGCUUCGACGGGUAGCUGGUCUGAGAGGACGAUCAGCCACACUGGCACUGCGACACGGGCCAGACUCCUACGGGAGGCAGCAGUAAGGAAUAUUGCGCAAUGGGCGAAAGCCUGACGCAGCGACGCCGCGUGGGGGAUGAAGGUCUUCGGAUUGUAAACCCCUUUCGGGAGGGAAGAUGGAACGAGCAAUCGUUCGGACGGUACCUCCAGAAGCAGCCACGGCUAACUUCGUGCCAGC
RNAcentral lists this ribosomal RNA (489 nucleotides) under uncultured bacterium. RNAcentral describes it as "bacterial SSU rRNA". It matches the Rfam family "Bacterial small subunit ribosomal RNA", at positions 29 to 512 of the family's 1533-position model. The record is from RNAcentral.